AGGCUCCCGGCUGGGUGGUGGGUGCUGUGUGUAACCCUCGUGUUGUGGAAAGGAGUGCAGUGUGUGUCCUUGUCAUGCAGCCGCCUCCCUGUCUGCAGGCAGGUGUCGGGGCAGUGCCGCGGCUCCUACGGUCAGCCUUUGAUGGACGGGCCUGGAUUAGAACCCUCUGGGUCAGUGGCUUGUCUGCUGGCCUCUGCCUGCUUUAGUCCAGCUGCUGUCCUCUUGCCUGGACACCCCCUCUGCCCCCCAUGUCAGUAAUCAGCUGAAGCCUCCUGCCGUCUGUCUCACCUGCUCAUCUGUCUGCUGGUGUCGCCCCCGAGAGCUCGGCCGAUCGUCUGAGCCAAGAGCCAAGAUUCUGUCCCCAUGUGGGCGACUCUGUCUCGCCACCCCCUGACUUCCGUGGCGCCUUUUCGGGGUUGCCGUUGGAACAUUCAGUGUGGGCCGUCUUGCUUUUCCUCCCUGAGCAGGGCUUGGAGGGGAAGGCAUGUUUAAGGGCGGUGGUCUUUGGACGUGGCUGGGACACUGCAGGCCUUGGGGACCCGAGUCGGCUCAUCUAGUGCAGGGGCUGGGGCUGGAUGCUGUCCUGCAGGUGCCCACGGGUGAGUGUGGUUGAAUGAGGACUGUGAGUUGUAGAGAACGUGGCUCUGGGAGGCUGGCGAGCGCACGGUCAAGGUUGAGCAGCAGGUGCCGGCUGCAGCAGGACGGGAACAGCUACAGCGGCUCCUCAAGAGCCCCACCGCCCCCAUGGAAGCACCAGCCACACGGGGCAGGCAGCACCCGCGGGGAGUCCAGCCGAGAUGUGUGCGACUGAAGUUCUUAGGCGUCUAGGUUUCCAAAACUUAGUACAACGGAAGAAGGGCGUUAAGGUGCCCUGUUGAUGGUUUCAGCACUGGCUGUGCUGCAGCAGGAUUCCAGGUGUACUGGGUUCAGCAAAACCCACCCAGUUCAUUUCACCGUUAUUUUUCUGCUGCAGCUACUGGGCCGUGUGAGUGGCACACGUGGCACAUUCCAGGCCCCCAGACCACGGCUCUCCCCACGUGGUCCCUGGACCGGCCUCUGGUGUGAGUGUGCGAGAGAUGCGGGAUCUUGGGGCCCAGCGCUGGGUUUUCACAAGCCCUCUGGGUGUUCCUAAUGUGGGUGGGUUUGGCUCUUGGGGACACCUGGCCAUUUUAGGUGGCCAUCACCAGAUGCUGCUGGCACCUCGUGUGUCGGGUGCUGGGUGCUGCUGUGUGGGGCAGCCCCUGGCGGAGGAGAGCGUGACCGGCCGUGGUGGGUGGGAGGUGGAGACGCUGGUCUGCAUGGUGGGGGCAGCUCUGGCCCCCCCGCUGGCCCCCAGGGGUUAAAGCAGGCCGUUCUCCGUGUGGCUCCGUCUCACACAGGACACGCACCACACGCGGCGGGAAACGCGGGCUCCUGCUCGGGCUUGGAGAUGGGGGGGCGACUGCCAUCGACUCUGGCUUCUGCCGUGGCGAUCGCUCUUGUUUCCGCCAAGACUCAGGGCAAAGGCGAGGAGGAGGGGCUCAAGUUGGCGUCUGGUUGCCAGCAGGUGGCUCUCGCCUCCCCAGCAGCGGGCGAAGUCAGGCGUUGAGAUCAGUGACCGGUGUGGCCCCGUGGCAGGUGCCGCGCCGUCACAGGUCGGCUCUUGGGAGCAGCGUGGAAGCUGGAGUUGCCUCUCUCCUGGGCCAUGUGCCCGCCGGCCCGUCUGGAGAGCCGGCUGUGGGUCCAGCGUGCGGGCAGGGGCGCGUGGGAGGGAGAUGAGGAGCGGCCCCUCUGCUGCUGGCGUUGCUUCCUCUGCCCGUGGGAGUUGUCUUGGGCACGUUUCUCGAGGCGGGCCGUGUCACUUGUCAACAGUACGUGUUGCGGCACGUGGUCCCAGCACCCAGGACGUUUCAGGGUGGCCCUGUCACGGUCCAGCCUCUAUCCUGAAGCAAACCGUCGCUCGAGACACCGGGUAAAAGGGACCAUUGAUCCGCGUUCUCGCGUGUCUGUGCCAGAACCUCCAGGAAGUCGGUAGGGCCUAAAGCCCGCUCCGAGGCGGCCGGCCGGGCAGGCAGGCGCCGGGCCGGGCAGCAGGGGCCGUGGUGCCACGCGGCCUGUGUGGACCUGACGUUUCCUCUCUCUGCCCACGUUCAUCCCCAGGUUCACUUUAACCGGGACGGCUCCCUGAUCGUGUCGAGCAGCUACGACGGCCUCUGCCGGAUCUGGGACACCGCCUCGGGCCAGUGCCUGAAGACGCUGAUCGGUGAGUGCUGCGGCCCGGGGACCCGGGCUCAGCCGUGGCGGCCCUCCCCGCGCCCGGCCCUCCGUCCUCAGAGGCUUUCCCUCCGGGCGGGGCCUCCUCUCCUGACCGCCUCCACCUCCUCCAGCCCCUUCCUGAGGAACCACCGUCCAGCCUGCUUGGGGCUGCCUGGCGGGUGGGGGUCCUCUGGGGGACCCGUGAGUCCCUGGACGCUGCUCAGGUCACUCCCUGAGCAGGUGGGGUUGAGCCUGGGCCCUCAGCGAGCCCCAUCUGCCCGGAGAGCCUCGGGUGGGUGGGCCUGGGGGAGAGGCCCCAAGGCCUCCACAGGCUGUGCCUCGAGUAAGGGGCGGAAUGGAGCCACAAGAGCGCAGCCUGGGUGGCAGGUGCUCUGUGUGGCCCCAAGGUGGCCAAUGCGCCCCUGUGGGCCUCGGGCCUGGGAAGGUGACGCAGGAACCCUGGGGGGGCGAAUCGGGUGGGUGUCGCUGUUGGAGGCCUCACCUGAGUCAGCCUGGAAGGUCUCUGUGGCCUCAGGUGGAUCCUAGAGCAGGUAGGCUGGUGUGAGGGCAGGGGCGCCGCCUGAGCCCCCAAAGUGCUGCAGGCCAGGUGGCUUAAGCAGCAGAAACCUGUCCCCACGUCCUGGAGGCCAGAGGUCCAGGGUCCAGGUGUGGGCAGGGCUGGCUUCUCUUGCAGCCCCUCCUUCUCUGAGUGUCCUUACACUGCUGGCCUCUGCGUGUGCCCCGCUGGGCCGCGUGUCCUCCUCCUGUAGGGACGGCAGUCACCUGGCCUCUGGUCACCCUGACUGCCUCGUUGACGCCUCCUUCUUGGAGGCCUGUCUCCAGGUGGCCCUGCGUCUGAGGUGCUGGGUUAGGGCUUCAGCGUGAGAAUUCCGGGAGGGACCGUUGAGACUAGACCUUGGCCUCUGCCGUUUUCCUGCUUCUUCUGACGUGCAGUCCUCCUCUGACUGUGACAUCGCCCUCAUCUGUCACCACGCCCAUCCCAUCCCCAGAAGCAGGGUGUAGCCACGUGCGCCCAGCGGGGCAGCGUCCCUGUGCAGCCCUGCUUGGCCCAGGCUGUUGGGUUACCUGGUGAAGCCCCUGUGCAACCCCACAGCCAGGCAGGAUGCUGAGGCCUGGAGAUGUGGAGUCCUGGCUGGGAGGUGGGGACGGCAGGGAGUGGUUCCUGGCCCCACUUCUAACCUCAGGUCCAGGGAAUUGGGCGCCUGGGGCUUGGCAGGACAGCCCUGUGUUGCCUUGCUGGCAGUGCUCACCCUGACCUCUGGGCACCGCCUCCCUCAUCCAUCCUGAGUGGCCCCUGUGGCCCAGGGGUGGCCCUCAUGUGUCUUCUCAUGUGCCUUUGCGGUGUCUGGGACCCGUCAGGUGCUCCUGGUGCCCCGAGGUGGUAAUGCGGUGCCUGCCCAGUGCCCCGGUGCUGGGGACACAGCCCCGCCGGCUCCCGCUGCCCGGUGCCACCCCGGCUGCCCUCCUGUUCAGGCAGAUGGGGGGCGGGGGCGUCCUGCAGCCAGAGCACUUUCUGAAUGUGCCGCCUCUUUUCCAGCUGCAUCCUCAGGGCCCGGGGUGCACCCUGGACCCCAAGGGUCAGAACCAGGGUGUGGGUGUAACAGCAAAGGGUGACUUCUAGGGCGACUUCAUGCCUCUUCUACUCUGACCACGGAGCUGGCAGGUGCCUGAGAGGGUUCACCCGGGCUGCCGCCUUCCCAGUGGGCUGCGAUUUGCAAGCUCCCUCCUGGGGGUUGAUCCCGGGGCCUCUCCUGUACCCUGUGGAAGAGGCCUGGCUACCCGAGAGCCCCUGGCCACCAGGCCUUUGCACCCGAAGCCCUGUGUCAUGGGGUCACUGGGAGCCUGGCUCACGCUGGCACGAACAGUGGGUGAGGGAGGGUGGCCGGCUCUCGGGGAUCCCCCUGUUGGCACAGGUGGCAGUGGCUGCACUGGGCGACACGUGGUAGGGGAGCGCCACCCCACCCGAGAGCCAGUGCCCGGCGUGGCAGCUGUCUCUGUGCUCCAUGCAGAUGACGACAACCCGCCCGUGUCCUUCGUGAAGUUCUCUCCGAACGGCAAGUACAUCCUGGCCGCGACCUUGGACAAGUAAGCCCUCUGUCCCCGUGCGGGUGGGUUACCAGGGCCAUCGCCCCAGGGCCAGGAUCCCAGAAAGACACCCUCUCCAGUGCCCGCACGGAGCCUGCUGGGUGCAGGCUGCCGAUGCAGGCACCCUGCUGGGAUGGUGGGCAUGGCGGCCUCCCGGUGCUGCCCGCUCUGCCCGGGCGCCCUGCUCCUGACACGCUUCGGGUGGGUGUCCCGGCCGUCCACUGCCCUCCUGGAGGCGGCUGGCGCUCGGCCUCCCCGGGCACUGUGGGAGCCCUCGGGUGGGCUCACAGGGUCGGCCCCCACAGGAGGAGGAAGGACUGUCCGCCGAGGUCUGUUCUGGACGUGUCCGCAAUGGGGCUUCCUGAGCCCUUUUCUCGCAGGGACGUGGACCCCUUCCCGGCUCGGGGAACGCUUAGUAGCUUCCUUUAACCAAGCCUCUUGGGGAGUUAACGUGUGGCUCGACAGGUUAAGGACUUGGCACUGCAGUAGCUCAGGUUCGAUCCCUGGCCCAGGAAUUUGCACACGCCUCGGCCGAGGCCAAGUGAAAAACAGUGUCUUGGGGUUCCCGCGCUCUGCUCCCAGGUGUCCUUGCUCUGUGGACCCUGGGCUGGGCGCGGGCACCGGAGAGGGUGGGUCCUCGGGGGCUCGGCUGACACGCCCUCUCCCCGCAGCACGCUGAAGCUCUGGGACUACAGCAAAGGGAAGUGUCUGAAGACGUACACCGGCCACAAGAAUGAGAAGUACUGCAUAUUCGCGAAUUUCUCUGUCACUGGCGGGAAGGUGAGUCAUGUCCCUGCUGGGGGUUCUCCCCGGCCCCUCUGGGGCGCUUUUUAACCCAGUGCAGCCCCGCUGGUGGCAUCCUCAGCGGGCCUUCCCAUUGCGUCCUCUUCAGGGCCACAGGCUCCUUUGUGAUGCCGAGGGUGUCAGCACCUUCUGGGAGUCAGGGACCCUGGCAGGCUCUGGCGUCUGGUCCCCGGGGCUCCCCGCCUCUCAGGCUCAGGCUGCAGGGGAGAUGGUGACGGCAGCCCUGAUUGGAGGAAACAGUUUAUGUCCUAGAAGUGGCGGGUGCUGGUGCGGCAUCGGGACAGGAGAUGGGCGGGGACCCACACGGGUAGGGGUGCUGGUACUGCUGGUCCCCAGGCACGCGCCUGACACCCUCCCGCCCCGUGACAGUGGAUCGUGUCGGGCUCGGAGGACAACUUGGUUUACAUCUGGAACCUGCAGACGAAAGAGAUUGUGCAGAAGCUGCAGGGCCACACGGACGUGGUCAUCUCGACGGCCUGCCACCCCACAGAGAACAUCAUCGCCUCGGCCGCGCUGGAGAACGACAAGACCAUCAAGCUCUGGAAGAGCGACUGCUAGGCCCGCGGGCGCGGGGCUGUCGGGACGCCCAGCCGGGCUGGCGAGAGCUCGGUGCUCGAGGGGCUCCCUGGUCCAGGCCUGGGGACUGGAGGCGCCUGGGCCUGCGCCGCCUCCGAGGACGGCUUGGCCGAGGGCCGUGUCCCCCGCAGAGGUUCUCGGAGCUGCCGGUGGCGAUUCUUGCCAAUGCCUGUCUUGUUGGCUGGGGAAGAGUUAGAGUCUGUAUUGUGUUCGGAGGCCACAGAAAUUUCUAAUUUUUUAUUACAAAAGGUGAAG
RNAcentral lists this long non-coding RNA (5976 nucleotides) under Sus scrofa (pig). RNAcentral describes it as "lncRNA (ENSSSCG00025034845.1)". Lineage: Eukaryota; Metazoa; Chordata; Mammalia; Artiodactyla; Suidae. The record is from RNAcentral.